This is a non-coding RNA of Camellia sinensis, 520 nucleotides long. NCBI's taxonomy places the organism in Eukaryota, Viridiplantae, Streptophyta, Magnoliopsida, Ericales, Theaceae. The record is from RefSeq and is a predicted model, not a curated record.
UAUGGUGCCCAAAAGUAGUAUUUGGGUACCAUACAUGAAAAUGAUUUUCAACCUUUAGAUCAAAAUCUUAAAUCUUGACCAUCCAAAAUCACAUAGAUCCAACCGGUCACAACCGGUCACAGGCCUAAAUCAAAGCACUGAAACAGGCGAGAGAGAGAGAGAGAAGACGAAGUGAACAGAGAGAAGACCGCAAAAGCACCGAACCAAGAGACAGAGGGCACCUCGUCGGACGGGAGUUCUCCACCGCACUCGGCGAGAGAGAAGACGAACGACGAAGAGAAGCGAUUCAGGCCUUAUUUCAGGUAAAUCUAAAGUUUCCGGAAAGGAUUUUCCAAAUUAGUGUCGCCGGCAGCAAAAGAUUUGCCUUCAUUCAUCAUUGUAGUUCUGACUUUGUUUCUCACUUGUAAUUUAAUUUUUUAUUUUCUUAAUUUGGUUGAUGAUGAAUAUAGGAGAAAAGGAAUGAAGAAAUCACCAUGUUAUAUUUUUUUUUCUUUAUUUUAUCUCUUUUAGUUGAUUGUCA